AGAUUGAACGCUGGCGGCGUGCUUUACACAUGCAAGUCGUGCGGCAGCGCGGGGGCAACCCUGGCGGCGAGCGGCGAACGGGUGAGGAAUACAUCGGAACGUACCCCGGAGUGGGGGAUAACCCAGCGAAAGUUGGACUAAUACCGCAUAUGCUCUGAGGAGGAAAGCAGGGGACUUCGCAAGAGGCCUUGCGCUCGUGGGAGCGGCCGAUGUCCGAUUAGCUAGUUGGGUAGGGUAAUGGCUCACCAAGGCGACGAUCGGUAGCUGGUCUGAGAGGAUGAUCAGCCACACGUGGGACUGACGACACCGGCCCAGACCUCCGUACGGGAGGCAGCAGGUGGGGUAAUUUGGACAAGUGGGGGACAACCGUGA
Molecule: ribosomal RNA, 372 nt
Filed under: uncultured soil bacterium
Lineage: Bacteria
Description: bacterial SSU rRNA
Rfam family: Bacterial small subunit ribosomal RNA
Source: RNAcentral